This 68-nucleotide transfer RNA is filed under the name Marmota monax (woodchuck). Its description in RNAcentral is "tRNA.Val". The record is from RNAcentral. Lineage: Eukaryota; Metazoa; Chordata; Mammalia; Rodentia; Sciuridae.
GGAAUGUAGCUCAGUGGUAGAACAUAUGCAUAACAUGCUCAAGGCCCUGGGUUCAGUUCACAGCACCA